GCCGGGUGGUCCUCCUGGGUGCCUCAGGGGCCCGGGGAGCAUGGGUCAGGGCGAGUGGCUGCUCCCUGGCCUCAGGUUAUCUGGGUGCCCGGUGAGUGAGGCAUGGCAGGCGAUACCGGACCCCACCCACCGCGUAUACCUCUGGAAUAGCGAUUGCCAUGAUUGAUGUCAGUAGCCUGGGCUGGGAGCCUGCAGCUUCCCCCAAUGGGUGUUCUUAUUUAUUUUCUUAAUCACAGGUAAUCAGAACUGCGAAGAUGAUUGGGUCACAGCCAGGAGACUGAUUUUGUAUCCAGAAGUUUCUGUUUCACAAUCACUAAACUACUCAUGCUCAAAGAUUAGUGUCAACAAGAAAUAAACAGACUCUGAUACCGAUAUAAAAUGAACGCGCGUUCAAGAUUUCCUUCAACUCAUUGUUAGCGCAGAAACCGGUAAGAUGUGCCAGCCAGGUCAAAGGAGAAGUGACAAAGGCACCUGUGUACGCGGAGUAAAGGGAUACAGGCUACAACUGAAAACACCAGUCAUAUUACCAAGGCUGUGACCGAAAUCGUGUCUCUGAGAAUGUGCCUCAAGCGUUCCAAGCCUGGCCGGCCGCGCUGGCUCACGCCUAUCAUCCCAGCACUUUGGGAGGCUGAGGUGGGAAGAUCACCUGGUGUCAGGAGU
RNAcentral lists this long non-coding RNA (660 nucleotides) under Homo sapiens (human). RNAcentral describes it as "non-protein coding lnc-ICOSLG-1:2". Lineage: Eukaryota; Metazoa; Chordata; Mammalia; Primates; Hominidae. The record is from RNAcentral.